GAGCUGGAGCCGCUGGAGAUCAAAGACGUGCUGCGAUGCAUCUUGCAUACAAUAUUCUUUCAUCGAACCCUCACUCUUGUUCGGCCCAAGGAUGUCGACUGCGACCUCUUUGAGAUCACAUAUGUUCAAUGUGGACUUGCAGAACUAGAAAAGGAGGUCGAUGAAAAGAUCAACCAGUUCAUUGCUUGGGCUGAAAAGCAUCCAAAUCGGAAAAGCCAGGUGUGCCUCUCGUUCUUCGAUGAGAAGAACAAGCACCCAGGCUGGUUCAGCAGCAAGACUGAGAGGGUUUACUGGGAACAAUGGUUCAUCAAUUUGCAUGUCACAAGCCCUAAAGGACAAGGCAAAUCACGUGGCUCCAAAGCGCCGGCGAAUACUAAAGGACAAGCAUUGGAAGAGACCAGCUCAAGACGUGAUGCGCUGAGCUUGCUGAUCCAAGAAGUCCUGUUCCAGAUCAUUAACUACGCCAAUGAGAAAAAAGACCAUAUUCCUCCAAUCUCUGAUAGAAUAUUCAAUCAUGAGAUUUUGGUCCCCAGCUCUUCUGAUUCUGUAUUCGGGUGGAACGCCGACGUUCUUCGGAGGGCAUUGAGUAGUGGACAUUCAUACUCACUGAACUGA
RNAcentral lists this ribosomal RNA (615 nucleotides) under Triticum aestivum (bread wheat). RNAcentral describes it as "partial small subunit ribosomal RNA". Lineage: Eukaryota; Viridiplantae; Streptophyta; Magnoliopsida; Poales; Poaceae. The record is from RNAcentral.